UUAGAACCGAACCACAAAAACUGGCUUUGUUCACAUCCCUACACACUGGCAGAUAGACUGCACUGUUUGCACAAACUGUAAAGCCAGUUUUCAAGAACAGCACACUGCAGCAAUCAAAAGAGAGAAAUAAAUGCCUGAAGGGAAACAAGAAUGGAAAGCAUCCUUAAAAUGACUGAUUUACAAUUGGCAAGGAGGAGAUACAAUAUGAAAAUUAUAGCCUUCUUAUUAUUUUAAACAUUGGAAGAAAAACUUUGGAAGAAAAGUGUAGACAGGCUGCUUUACCACUUGUAACUCAUGCUAUAAUAACCUGCAUUAGAUAAAGUCUAUAUGCUAGUCAUUUAUAUAUCUAUAUAAAAAUGUUUAUUAAAAAAUAGUUACUUGUUCAGAACCUAAGUUGAAGGGGAGAUGAAAACUGAAAUACCAGUUUGAAAGCUUAAUAUAUGUAUAACUUAUUAAAGAUCACCACAGCUAUUGAAGGCGUUUAAUAAACAUCCAUUAUGCUUAAGAGUUCACCUAAACACUGCUUCCCUACAAAUUAUCUGCAGCAUUCAUUUGUGAUAUUAUAGGGCUUUAGUCCUUCAGUAUAUGUCACAUGUUUUGGCCUGGGAACUAUCCAGGCCAUGCACUAUUUCCUUAAUCCCUACACCACCAUUAGGCAGUUCAAGCUGGCAUACUUUCACAACAGCCCAGAAGCCUUCUGGUUUGGUUAUCAGGAAGUCAGAGAGCCAAUCCAAUGCCAUUGCUACUAUAAAGUUACAGAUUUGUUCUCUCAGCCUGUUCUGUCUCAGGUACUUAGUAGCACUUCGACCAAAGUGCUUGACAGUGUGGUAAUGUUCAUCAUUUAGUGUAAGUCAGAAAAACUGGGUAGAGAAGCAUGGACCGGACACUCAGCCCUGUGUACCUGUGUAGAUAACAAUAAAGAUAUCAACAAUGGAAUUCACUCAUGUUAUUUUCAAUGGUUUGGAAGACAUGUUUGCUU
Molecule: long non-coding RNA, 979 nt
Organism: Hemicordylus capensis (graceful crag lizard)
Lineage: Eukaryota; Metazoa; Chordata; Lepidosauria; Squamata; Cordylidae
Exons: 4
Source: RefSeq, a predicted model, not a curated record